Molecule: ribosomal RNA, 320 nt
Filed under: uncultured Alphaproteobacteria bacterium
Lineage: Bacteria; Pseudomonadati; Pseudomonadota; Alphaproteobacteria
Description: bacterial SSU rRNA
Rfam family: Bacterial small subunit ribosomal RNA
Source: RNAcentral
GGAAUCUUGGACAAUGGGGGAAACCCUGAUCCACCCAUGCCGCUUGAGUGAUGAAGGCCGUAGGGUAGUAAACCUCUUUAAUCAGGGAAGAUAAUGACGGUACCAGCAAAAGAAGCCCCGGCUAACUCCGUGCCAGCAGCCGCGGUAAUACGGAGGGGGCAAGCGUUGUUCGGAAUUACUGGGCGUAAAGCGCGCGUAGGCGGUUUGUUAAGUCGGAGGUGAAAUCCCGGGGCUCAACCCGGGAACUGCUUUCGAAACUGCCAGUCUAGAGUUCGAGAGAGGUGAGUGGAAUUCCGAGUGUAGAGGUGAAAUUCGUAGAU